AUUCAGAAAAGCUGUUGUGAGGAAAAAAAAAAAAGAAAAAAGAAACCAAACAUCUCUAUAUUCCAAUGGUUCUGUUUCCAUGCUGGCUACGAAAGGAGUUGCCCACAAGCUGUCCAUGGUUGUAGUUGUGCUGAGAGCAAGCAGCUUCCACAAUCGACCUGAAGAAACCCCUUAAAAGUGCACGCCUGCCCCAUCUUGUGACCGAUAUGCUUCAUUAUCUCCUUUUGUACUUUGCCCAGAGGUUGCUUCCAUCAUUACAGACCUUUCACAUGUGCUGCUGGCCUCAGAUCGCAGGUGGUUUCUUUGCAUGCACUGUAAUCGACGCUCUUGUUGGUGAGCUCCUUGGAAGGCUCAGCAGCAGCACGCAGCUUAUCAAACCCUGUAGGGAUGCAGCCAGCAAGAAAUGGAAAGUGAAAUGUCCCAAGUCUGCUGCAUGCAGCUGUGCCUUCUGCUUGGAUUCCAAACUGUCACUGCUGCCAAUCCGUAUCUUUGUCAGAACUGAAUAAAAACAAAACCAACCCUAACAAAUUAGCAUUCAGUAGUGUGCAAACAGGAAACUUGAAACACGUCGAAUGUUUGGAAAUAACAGGUUCCUCUAAAGGAACCAGUUGAUGUAAGUUUAUGGGAUUGAGGAACCAGCAACAACAGGUUUUACAGGCUAAAAUGGAUCUGCGUCA
This 677-nucleotide long non-coding RNA is filed under the name Gallus gallus (chicken). Its description in RNAcentral is "lncRNA (ENSGALG00010001648.1)". The record is from RNAcentral. Lineage: Eukaryota; Metazoa; Chordata; Aves; Galliformes; Phasianidae.